Molecule: ribosomal RNA, 490 nt
Filed under: uncultured bacterium
Lineage: Bacteria
Description: partial 16S ribosomal RNA
Rfam family: Bacterial small subunit ribosomal RNA
Source: RNAcentral
AUUGAACGCUGGCGGCAGGCCUAACACAUGCAAGUCGAAUGGUAACAGGAAACAGCUUGCUGUUUCGCUGACGAGUGGCGGACGGGUGAGUAAUGUCUGGGAAACUGCCUGAUGGAGGGGGAUAACUACUGGAAACGGUAGCUAAUACCGCAUAACGUCGCAAGACCAAAGAGGGGGACCUUCGGGCCCCUUGCCAUCAGAUGUGCCCAGAUGGGAUUAGCUAGUAGGUGGGGUAACGGCGCACCUAGGCGACGAUCCCUAGCUGGUCUGAGAGGAUGACCAGCCACACUGGAACUGAGACACGGUCCAGACUCCUACGGGAGGCAGCAGUGGGGAAUAUUGCACAAUGGGCGCAAGCCUGAUGCAGCCAUGCCGCGUGUAUGAAGAAGGCCUUCGGGUUGUAAAGUACUUUCAGCGGGGAGGAAGGGAGUAAAGUUAAUACCUUUGCUCAUUGACGUUACCCGCAGAAGAAGCACCGGCUAACUCCGUG